AUGAACGCUGGCGGCGCGCCUAAUACAUGCAAGUCGAGCGAGAAGACGUAGCAAUACGUUUGUAAAGCGGCGAACGGGUGAGGAAUACAUGGGUAACCUACCCUCGAGUGGGGAAGUAACUAGCCGAAGGUUAGCUAAUACCGCGUACGCUUCUUGGACUUCGGUUCAGGGAGGAAAGACGAUGCCGAGGGUAUCGCGCUCUUGGAUGGGCUCAUGUCCUAUCAGCUUGUU
RNAcentral lists this ribosomal RNA (231 nucleotides) under uncultured bacterium. RNAcentral's name for it is "partial 16S ribosomal RNA". It matches the Rfam family "Bacterial small subunit ribosomal RNA", at positions 29 to 250 of the family's 1533-position model. The record is from RNAcentral.